GCCUUUGUUGAUUAAUGGAAAAAUCGCCCACCGACAGUGAGUCUGUGACAAAGGACUUAGUGGGAGACGGAGGUUCGAAUCCUCCUGAGGGCC
Non-coding RNA from Mycena rebaudengoi, 93 nucleotides. The record is from the annotation of a GenBank genome assembly. Lineage: Eukaryota; Fungi; Basidiomycota; Agaricomycetes; Agaricales; Mycenaceae.